AGUGUGUGUGUGUGUGUGUGUGUGUGUGUGUGUGUGUGUGUGUGUGUGGGGGGGUGGGUGGGGGGGGGUGUGGUGUUGUGGAAGCGCGGUGGGACUUAACUUUAGAGAUGUAACAAAUCCAUAAGUAAGAAGCCUACGCUCACAAGAUUGCAGUCCAAAUAAGGAACCUAAUCUGAAAACCUCUUAACUAGGCCAACAACCCACUUGCAUGUGUGCAAAUCCCACCCAAAUGUCUCUCGACUUUUCUCAUCACUUUUCUGUUUUCUUUUAUUAUUAUUUUAAAUUGUUUUGCUUAGAAUACAAUCUCGCAAUAAUAUCAUUGCAAUUCAAAAAUCAAUUUGCUUUGUUUUUCAGUUCUCCAUGCACUAGAGAAUCGUCCCUAAAAGAACAAAAUUAGUCUUUAGGUCAGUGCUUUCGCGCACGUCGAAAUACUGGCUGGUCGUUGUUUUACUGUUGACGUUGUUUGCGUACUCUUUCCUGCUGGUUCGCAGCUUGUUCAUGCCGUUGGUGCGCUACUGUUUGCGUAUUGUUGCGCUUGCUGUUUUCCGAGAUUGCUAAUUGCUGUUUUGCUCAAUUUUCCAUCAAUAAUUAAUUCCUUAAAAUGAAAAUGUUAAAUCGAAUGGGACAUGCAUGCAUGCGAUACAUUUUAAAGAGUGAUUUUAUGGGGACCUGGGGACUUAACUCAUAAUUAUGAUGUAUAAUUAAAUUUGUGUAGUGCGUCAAGCUAAUCAAAUUAGUGCAAACUCUUCUUACUCUUUCGACAAAGAAGCAUUUGCUGAACGGAGCAGGCAAAUAAAGCUCUUUUACGAUCCGAGUUUUUUUCACUCAAAAGCUGCCUUUAAUUUUCUUUUUAUUAUUGAGAACAGCUUUUUGCCCAAUGGAAUAUAUAUUCAAAUAUUAAACUAAGGGAUAUAGGAUUUGUACAUUUUAUUAUACCAAUUAUAUUUCUAUAUAUGCUUUUAUCAAAUUUUCAUCAUCAUGUCAAUCCACAAGAGUGAAGAUUUGAUCCCGAAGGAUAUGAUCCCGUGUUUGCUAUAAUAAAUUAAUCUGUAAAUUAAUUUUGGUUUAUUUAAUCAGUUUUUUUAGUCAUGUUCCUCCAUUAUUAAUUUCAUCUGUCCGCAUGGUGAAUUUUCUAUAAGUAAUCAUGGUGGACUUUUGUUAUUUCUUACUUCGUAACUUUUUAAUUCACUUAGGCUAUGUUUGGGAGGUAAGACUAAUUGUGGGAUUAGACUAACUUUAAAAUUAAAUAUUUAUCCUAAUAUUUGGCAAAUUUUUUAGGACUGAAUUAAGGGGACUAAAUUCAAUCACAAUUCAUAAGAUUAGCAAUCACAAUUUAUAAGUGGGCUUAGAUGGGAUUAGAAUAAGAGAA
RNAcentral lists this long non-coding RNA (1369 nucleotides) under Citrus x clementina. Its description in RNAcentral is "Citrus clementina (C. clementina) long non-coding RNA (CCLE_LNC006622)". The record is from RNAcentral. Lineage: Eukaryota; Viridiplantae; Streptophyta; Magnoliopsida; Sapindales; Rutaceae.